AUUGAACGCUGGCGGCAGGCCUAACACAUGCAAGUCGAGCGGAUGAAGGGAGCUUGCUCCUGGAUUCAGCGGCGGACGGGUGAGUAAUGCCUAGGAAUCUGCCUGGUAGUGGGGGAUAACGUCCGGAAACGGGCGCUAAUACCGCAUACGUUCUGAUGGAGAAAGUGGGGGAUCUUCGGACCUCACGCUAUCAGCUGAGCCUAGGUCGGAUUAGCUAGUUGGUGGGGUAAAGGCCUACCAAGGCGACGAUCCGUAACUGGUCUGAGAGGAUGAUCAGUCACACUGGAACUGAGACACGGUCCAGACUCCUACGGGAGGCAGCAGUGGGGAAUAUUGGACAAUGGGCGAAAGCCUGAUCCAGCCAUGCCGCGUGUGUGAAGAAGGUCUUCGGAUUGUAAAGCACUUUAAGUUGGGAGGAAGGGCAGUAAGUUAAUACCUUCCUGUUUUGACGUUACCAACAGAAUAAGCACCGGCUAACUCCGUG
Molecule: ribosomal RNA, 484 nt
Filed under: uncultured bacterium
Lineage: Bacteria
Description: partial 16S ribosomal RNA
Rfam family: Bacterial small subunit ribosomal RNA
Source: RNAcentral